RNAcentral lists this ribosomal RNA (275 nucleotides) under uncultured bacterium. Its description in RNAcentral is "partial 16S ribosomal RNA". It matches the Rfam family "Bacterial small subunit ribosomal RNA", at positions 523 to 796 of the family's 1533-position model. The record is from RNAcentral.
AUACGUAGGGAGCAAACGUUGUCCGGAUUUAUUGGGCGUAAAGGGCUCGUAGGCGGUUCAACAAGUCGGUCGUGAAAGCCCGGGGCUCAACCCCGGGAGGCCGGUCGAAACUGUUGUGACUAGAGUUCGGUAGAGGUGAGUGGAAUUCUCGGUGUAGCGGUGGAAUGCGCAGAUAUCGAGAGGAACACCAUUAGCGAAGGCGGCUCACUGGGCCGAUACUGACGCUGAGGAGCGAAAGCGUGGGGAGCAAACCGGAUUAGAAACCCGAGUAGUCC